This 484-nucleotide ribosomal RNA is filed under the name uncultured Caldimonas sp. RNAcentral describes it as "bacterial SSU rRNA". It matches the Rfam family "Bacterial small subunit ribosomal RNA", at positions 8 to 492 of the family's 1533-position model. The record is from RNAcentral. Lineage: Bacteria; Pseudomonadati; Pseudomonadota; Betaproteobacteria; Burkholderiales; Sphaerotilaceae.
AGAGUUUGAUCAUGGCUCAGAUUGAACGCUGGCGGCAUGCCUUACACAUGCAAGUCGAACGUGAAAGGGGGGCAACCCCCGAGUAGAGUGGCGGACGGGUGAGUAACACAUCGGAACGUACCCAGUAGUGGGGGACAACCUCGAGAAAUCGAGGCUAAUACCGCAUACGACCCACGGGUGAAAGCGGGGGACCGCAAGGCCUCGCGCUAUUGGAGCGGCCGAUGUCCGAUUAGCUUGUUGGCGGGGUAAGAGCCCACCAAGGCGAUGAUCGGUAGCUGGUCUGAGAGGAUGAUCAGCCACACUGGGACUGAGACACGGCCCAGACUCCUACGGGAGGCAGCAGUGGGGAAUUUUGGACAAUGGGGGCAACCCUGAUCCAGCCAUGCCGCGUGCGGGAAGAAGGCCUUCGGGUUGUAAACCGCUUUCGGCCGGAACGAAAUCGCCCGGGUGAACAUCCCGGGUGGAUGACGGUACCGAAGAAGAG